Pan paniscus (pygmy chimpanzee) is the source of this 660-nucleotide long non-coding RNA. The record is from Ensembl. Lineage: Eukaryota; Metazoa; Chordata; Mammalia; Primates; Hominidae.
AGGCCCUCACCAGAAGCAGAUGCUGGUUCCAUACCUCUUGCACAAGCUGCAGAACUGUGAGCACAUCUGAGGAGAACAUGAUGUUCUCUUCAGACUCGAACACAUCUAAAGAGAACUCCUGGGAAGCCGUAAGGACACAUCAUUUGAGCCUCCUGAGGCAGCUGGAACAUCUCCCAUGAGCUGCCCUGCCAACCCCUCCUCCCAAGCCUGCACAGAACCUGAGAAGGGAAGAGAGUGAGAAGCAUCAGGAUUGGCAGAUUGGGGAUUGUGGAAGAAAAACAUGGGGUUAUGGAAGCAGAAGGAAGAGGGAGAAACCUGCUCGGGAACUGUAUUACAGGAUGGUGUUUGCCACUUAGAGCUGCGGAGCCCAGUGGCAUUGCAGAGACAGUGGGCUCUUGUGUAUGCUGUCACACUCCUAAGCUGGUCUUAGAAAUCUUCCACUUGUGCCCAAGUGACAGAUGUUGUCCAACUGAUGCCCAUGCCAGAACCAGCACUUGCACAGCUCUGCUCACAUGAGAGUGUAACAUCGUCUUAAGUAUAGUCUUUAGAUGACUGGAAUUUCUGAGGACAGAAUUUCCACUUAAAAUAAAGCCUAACAAGCUCUCUGGAGAAAUUAGCUGGGGUCAGAGACCCAAACUUGCCAAAUAAACAUAUUGUCAG